GUCCGGAUGGCACAGUGGUGAGUGCAUCUGCGCAGUAAGCAGGAGACCUGGGUUCGACUCCCAGUCUGGCACA
Schistocerca serialis cubense is the source of this 73-nucleotide non-coding RNA. NCBI's taxonomy places the organism in Eukaryota, Metazoa, Arthropoda, Insecta, Orthoptera, Acrididae. The record is from the annotation of a RefSeq genome assembly.